This 73-nucleotide transfer RNA is filed under the name Deltaproteobacteria bacterium. RNAcentral describes it as "tRNA-Arg". It matches the Rfam family "tRNA". Rfam says of the family: Transfer RNA (tRNA) molecules are approximately 80 nucleotides in length. Their secondary structure includes four short double-helical elements and three loops (D, anti-codon, and T loops). The record is from RNAcentral. RNAcentral also lists the same sequence under 3 other names. Lineage: Bacteria; Pseudomonadati; Myxococcota; Myxococcia.
GCGCCCGUAGCUCAAUGGAUAGAGCACCAGACUACGGAUCUGGGGGUUGGAAGUUCGACCCUUCCCGGGCGCG